CCUACGGGAGGCUGCAGUGAGGAAUAUUGGUCAAUGGGCGUAAGCCUGAACCAGCCAAGUCGCGUGAGGGAUGAAGGUUCUAUGGAUCGUAAACCUCUUUUAUAAGGGAAUAAAGUGUGGGACGUGUCCUGUUUUGUAUGUACCUUAUGAAUAAGGAUUGGCUAACGCCGUGCCAGCAGCCGCGGUAAUACGGAGGAUCCGAGCGUUAUCCGGAUUUAUUGGGUUUAAAGGGUGCGUAGGCGGCCUUUUAAGUCAGCGGUGAAAGUCUGUGGCUCAACCAUAGAAUUGCCGUUGAAACUGGGAGGCUUGAGUAUGUUUGAGGCAGGCGGAAUGCGUGGUGUAGCGGUGAAAUGCUUAGAUAUCAGGCAGAACCCCGAUUGCGAAGGCAGCCUGCCAAGCCAUGACUGACGCUGAUGCACGAAAGCGUGGGGAUCAAACAGGAUUAGAUACCCGAGUAGUC
RNAcentral lists this ribosomal RNA (460 nucleotides) under uncultured bacterium. RNAcentral describes it as "partial 16S ribosomal RNA". It matches the Rfam family "Bacterial small subunit ribosomal RNA", at positions 338 to 795 of the family's 1533-position model. The record is from RNAcentral.